UUUUGUUUCAGUUAAGAAUGCAUGGAUUCUGUUCCUGUUACCUCCACUUUUUUGCCUCAACAACAAGCAAAGCAAGGACCCAUUGAAAAUUGUAAUUGCACCUAGUCUUGUAGGUUAAUUAUCUGAAUAUCUGAAAUUAUAUGGUUGGUUCAUAGCUGCUGUUCAGGUCACUUAUUUAUAGGUUAACACUUGUUUCAUUCAUGCAUAUUUGUGCAGGAAGGAUUGUGUAGAACAGAGGAGAAGGGGCACAUGAUACCAUCCCAGUUUGUUGGCAAACAGGCUCAUUUUAUUUGCUUUGCACAGAUGUGAGUUAAGUAGGUCUAUACCAUAUAAAGUGAGCUAACAAAAGGUGGUUCUCUUCUCUGGUAGAAAGACAUGGCUGUGUUGCUGUAGCGCUGUGUUGUUGUAGCAGUCAACAAGACAUUGAGUAAAAGUUGGGCUCCAUUGCCAUUGGGUUGAAGAGUAAGGAUGGUGUUGUCCUGGCUGUUGAGAAAUGUGUCACCUCACUGCUGCAGGUAUGAUUGAGUAGCGGGCUACUUGGUGCUUCUCAUCACAAUUCGCCACGACCUGAUAGUUUCCAUCAGGAGGGCCGAUGGCAAGAACUUGAAUAACAACCUCAAUAGUUUAUAUGUUUUGUUUAUGUAAACUGGAGUGUACUAUUUCUUAACCUUGCUGUGUGUAUAUUUUGUCAAUCUAUGUUGUAAAUUAUCCUUUCAUGGAGGAUUUUGUGAACUGCAAAU
Triticum dicoccoides is the source of this 740-nucleotide long non-coding RNA. RefSeq lists it as uncharacterized. Lineage: Eukaryota; Viridiplantae; Streptophyta; Magnoliopsida; Poales; Poaceae. The transcript is spliced from 3 exons. The record is from RefSeq and is a predicted model, not a curated record.